GCGUGCGUGAAGAAGGCCUUAGGGUUGUAAAGCGCUUUCAACGGGGAAGAUGAUGACGGUACCCGUAGAAGAAGCCCCGGCUAACUCCGUGCCAGCAGCCGCGGUAAUACGGAGGGGGCUAGCGUUGUUCGGAAUUACUGGGCGUAAAGGGCGCGUAGGCGGAAUUGCAAGUCAGAGGUGAAAGCCCCGGGCUCAACCUGGGAACUGCCUUUGAAACUGCAAUUCUUGAGGCCGGUAGAGGAUAGCGGAAUUCCCAGUGUAGAGGUGAAAUUCGU
This 275-nucleotide ribosomal RNA is filed under the name uncultured bacterium. RNAcentral describes it as "partial 16S ribosomal RNA". It matches the Rfam family "Bacterial small subunit ribosomal RNA", at positions 399 to 691 of the family's 1533-position model. The record is from RNAcentral.